RNAcentral lists this ribosomal RNA (306 nucleotides) under Triticum aestivum (bread wheat). Its description in RNAcentral is "partial small subunit ribosomal RNA". Lineage: Eukaryota; Viridiplantae; Streptophyta; Magnoliopsida; Poales; Poaceae. The record is from RNAcentral.
AUGAGUCUGGACCCCACAAAAUCACUUGUGAAGGACGUUGUAGCUCUGAACAUGCCACGCCUCGAGGCUCGUCUUGAAGGUGCUCAAGGAUAUAUUGCUUGCCUGAAAGUUGCACUGGCGAAGAUCGACAAGGAGUUGUGGCCUGAGGAUACGCUUCAGAAUGACAUCGAGUCAAUGAUGGCUCCGCUCAACGAUAUCCCAGGUCGGGUGCAAGCAUGGAAGAAAUCUGUUGCCCGCUGCGUAGCUGAAGUGGCUCUCUCUAUCUUGUCUGAGUCCAUUGCAAGGAUGUCAAGGAAGAUAAACUGA